This 344-nucleotide long non-coding RNA is filed under the name Ananas comosus (pineapple). RNAcentral describes it as "long non-coding RNA (ACOM_LNC037117)". Lineage: Eukaryota; Viridiplantae; Streptophyta; Magnoliopsida; Poales; Bromeliaceae. The record is from RNAcentral.
AUCAUAUAUCUGUCUCUCUAUUUUUCUUUAAAUACUUCUCAUAAAUACCGACCGUCCCUAGAGCAAGUAGCAAAGGGCUUGGUGGUUGGUAUCCGAGACCCAAGUUCAAAUCCUAAUUGAUUCACAUUUCCAGCUAAGUUUAUUUCUAAAUGAAAUAAAUGAAGCGGGUAGCGUGCUACCUAUCUUUCGGAACCGACCCUCCCUAGAGCAAGUGGCAAAAGGCUUGGUGAUUGAUACCCGAGACCCAAGUUCGAAUCCGAGUUAAUUCACAUUUCUAGCUAAAUUUAUUUCUAAAUGAAAUAAACGAAGCGGGCAGCGUGCUACCUAUCUCUCUCAAAAAAAAA